GGACAACCUACCCUACAGAAGGGGAUAACCCCGGGAAACUGGGGAUAAUACCCUAUAGACUAUGGAUGCUGGAAUGCUCUGUAGCCGAAAGGUCCGCCGCUGUAGGAUGGGUCUGCGGCCGAUUAGGUUGUUGUUGGGGUAACGGCCCAACAAGCCUGUAAUCGGUACGGGUUGUGGGAGCAAGAGCCCGGAGAUGGAUUCUGAGACACGAAUCCAGGCCCUACGGGGCGCAGCAGGCGCGAAAACUUUGCAAUGCGGGAAACCGUGACAAGGGAACUCUGAGUGCCCGUAAAAUCGGGCUGUCCAUCGGUUUAAAUAACCGGUGAAGAGAGGGCCGGGCAAGACCGGUGCCAGCCGCCGCGGUAAUACCGGCGGCUCGAGUGGUGGCCACUAUUACUGGGCUUAAAGCGUUCGUAGCUGGUUUGUUAAGUCUCUGGGGAAAUCUUCCGGCUUAACCGGAAGGCGUCUCAGGGAUACUGGCAGACUAGGGACCGGGAGAGGUGAGAGGUACUCCAGGGGUAGGAGUGAAAUCCUGUAAUCCUUGGGGGACCACCUGUGGCGAAGGCGUCUCACCAGAACGGCUCCGACAGUGAGGGACGAAAGCUGGGGGAGCAAACCGGAUUAGAUACCCGGGUAGUCCCAGCUGUAAACGAUGCGCGUUAGGUGUAUCGGUGACCACGAGUCACCGAGGUGCCGAAGAGAAAUCGUGAAACGUGCCGCCUGGGAAGUACGGUCGCAAGGCUGAAACU
Molecule: ribosomal RNA, 749 nt
Filed under: uncultured archaeon
Lineage: Archaea
Description: bacterial SSU rRNA
Rfam family: Archaeal small subunit ribosomal RNA
Source: RNAcentral